AGCUAGGGGUGCCGUUAGGCUGAGAAAGAGCAAUCUUAACCCUUUGAACCUGAAGCAGUUCAUACUGCCGUAGGAAAGCGAAGAUAAA
This 88-nucleotide non-coding RNA is filed under the name human gut metagenome. RNAcentral's name for it is "TPP riboswitch (THI element)". The stretch from base 2 to 79 matches the Rfam family "TPP riboswitch aptamer (THI element)", at positions 8 to 91 of the family's 105-position model. From Rfam's summary of the family: Vitamin B(1) in its active form thiamin pyrophosphate (TPP) is an essential coenzyme that is synthesised by coupling of pyrimidine and thiazole moieties in bacteria. The previously detected thiamin-regulatory element, thi box was extended, resulting in a new, highly conserved RNA secondary structure, the THI element, which is widely distributed in eubacteria and also occurs in some archaea. The record is from RNAcentral.